GACUUGCUAUUAAUGUUGAUUAGCAGUUCCACAUUCAUCAGUAUCUUUCCCAUCUAAUUAUUUUGGAAGAAGAUUUGCACUUAUAUUUCUUUUUGCCAGUUCUAAUAACUUUCUUUGCUCAGAACCCUGUAAGGCCUUUGCCUCCUUCUGGCGGUUAUAGCCAGCAAACCUAUCGUCCACACAGACCACCUGGUCCACCUACUGAAGAGCACAUGAAUUAGUUGUGAUUAUCUGCAGUACAUGAGCCCACUGGAUGAACAUGUACUCAAUGUACAGUGGGAGACUACAACUUAAUGUGUUUUAUGAAUCCUGACUUAAUGUGUUUCAACGGAGGAUUAUGUGUAUCAUACUUUGGCUGCAAAAGCUAGUGGAGAAUUGUCCUUGAAGUAUAUAUUUUCUUUUGGAGCAUUUGCACAGCAACCCCUUCUGCACAUGUGAGAUUUGGUGUUCUAGAGGCUGGAGCCUUUGGUGUUUCUUAGUCUAGGAAAUGAGCAUUCAUAUGGGCAGCUUCUCCAGAAGAGACUCCCAGAGUGGCCAGAGCCAAUGCACAUCUUUGCAGGCCCAGAACUGAAAAUCACAUUACCAGGGGAUGUACAGUAUGCUGCCGUCAGGAAAAUCUCUAUUAAGUGACUGCCAAAGAGUUGCAGAUCACUACUAGAAAAUGUGCUAUUGCAGAUAUCACUACAGUAUUUUCUCUGUCAUGCUCAGUUGGGUGCUGACCAAAUUCUUUUGCAGCAUUAGGCUGACUACCUUUGACACUGUUAAAGGCUGACU
This is a long non-coding RNA of Magnolia sinica, 774 nucleotides long. RefSeq lists it as uncharacterized. The record is from RefSeq and is a predicted model, not a curated record. The transcript has 3 exons. NCBI's taxonomy places the organism in Eukaryota, Viridiplantae, Streptophyta, Magnoliopsida, Magnoliales, Magnoliaceae.